CUAUCGGAGAGUUUGAUCCUGGCUCAGGACGAACGCUGGCGGCGUGCCUAAUACAUGCAAGUCGAGCGGAGA
RNAcentral lists this ribosomal RNA (72 nucleotides) under Bacillus sp. NTK071. RNAcentral describes it as "partial 16S ribosomal RNA". It matches the Rfam family "Bacterial small subunit ribosomal RNA", at positions 1 to 72 of the family's 1533-position model. Lineage: Bacteria; Bacillati; Bacillota; Bacilli; Caryophanales; Bacillaceae. The record is from RNAcentral.